GGGCCGCGCAGGGCCCCGCGCCACAGAACGCGCCUGCGCGUCCCACCCGGUCCCAUCGGGUCCGCCGCAGGGCCGGAGGUCGCGCUCGCGCGCCGCCUGCUGGACGCGCGGAGAGGAGCCGGCCAACGCAGGCCCAGCGGCCUUGGUAGUGCGCUCGGACCGAAGAAGAACCUCCUACUUAGAGGGACCUGCGGGUCCACUUAACGCAGACUCCCCGCGGCAUCACUGUCCUGCGAGCUCUGAGCGCUAGAAGCUGCACUUGGUGAUGUCCAUUCGACGUGCUGGAUCUGAAAGUGUUUGUCCAAGCGCUGCGCAGCAGCCGCGCCCCUGCUAUUUGGUCUGGCCGCUUUUUGCUCCCCUACUGGGUUCUCGCUGUGCUCAGACACAGUGGCGUGGCCAGUCCCAACUUCUUGGUGGACUCUGGCUGUGCCCCUGGCCGAAGGCUUCCUCCCUUCGGGGACAGAAGCAUUCCCGCGGGUAAGGGACAGCUGCUGCUGGGAAUAUUGCAGCCCUGUAACUUUUGCAUUAAGCCCAGGGAUUCUCUAAAACCAUCUGACCUCUCGCCUCCACCCCACAGGUUAGUUAAAUGGGGUUGUGAUAGACACCUGCCCAAGGGCGUGGCACUAAUCUCCGAGGCACCUCCCCCUGCGUGGCGUUGCCCGUUGCCCAUUGCCCAUUGCCGGGGUAGGUGUACUUCCCCAGAGGAAAUACGGGGACUGUGCUCGAGGCGGAGCUUAGUGCAGAGAGCGCUGAGAACUGGGCACCAGCUACUGCAAGGAUCUGUGGGCUCCCUGGCCCCACUGAGAGUCGAACUUGAGUUAAGACCACACGUCAUCUGAUGGUGUAAACCCUCUCUGAUGGGGCAUCUGUGUCCCCUGGAAUGAGCAACCAUUUAAAGGCAGCGUCUUGUGAUUCCAGAGCUGCGUGCCCACCUCCUUCCUCUGGGUCACAGUACUCUCCUGGCCCCUCUGGGGGAGGCCUGGAGACCAGCUGCUCUUACCUGCAGCAGUGCUUUCUGGGUUCUGUCCAGAUCCUGAGCUCCAGGUUUGUGACUUAUGCCUGGAAACAGGGUAGAGGCCGAGUCAAAUCCAUUGUGGUGACUUAAGUCAGGUUUUGGCCACCAGGCCUAGACCGUCUCUGUGCACAGAGUGAGCAGUGUUCUAGGGGACUGCCCACUUCUUUUGCUCCCAGGGACCAUCUGAGUAGCUGGGGUUCCUACAGGCCAGGACACUGAGUACCAGGCUGGCUGCUUGCUACAGGGCUUGCCCACCUCAGCUUCAGCAGCUCUGGGUCACAUCAUCCCUGUGACAUCCAGAGCCCAUCUCAACAAUGGCACUCCAUCCCCAUGGUGAGCUUGGCAGCAGGCCCAGAACUGAUGGGGAGGCCUCCUGUCACUUGUGGGGUCCCAGGUGGUGUCAGCCACAUGCAAAGGUUGUGUCUUCGACCUGUCUAGUUGGGGUGUAGGUGUGCAGGUCACACUGGAUGGACCCAGAUCAACAGUCGUCUCUCUGUGGACCUCUGUACUCUGGUCCUCACAAUGCCAGGGACACUCCAGCAUCUCACACUCACCCACUGAGUCCCCUGUUGAGUCCGAAUUUCAGUCAAUCCAAAAAGCAAGCUGUGGCGGGCUCCAAGGGCGGGUCUAGGGGCUGGGUGCACGGAUGGGCAGUGGGCACACCUGCCUCAGGAAUCCAGCUCCAUCUGGGCUCUGUCUCAGCCUCCUGUCUCACACCCUGGAAUCCACUUCCACACAUAACUAACUCCCCAGGUCUCUGCCAACAUAGAUUUGAAAAUCUUUGAAUUCUUGUAGUCUGUAAACCGGGGUUUGGCAACUGCACCCUGUAAGCCAGGUCUGGCCUGGAGCCUACUUUGUUUUAUACAGCCUGUGAGCUAAGAAUGGUUCACAUUGGAAAGGGUUGAGAAACACACACACCCUGCCACCACCAAGACGGAGGAAGGAGGAAGAGGAGGAGGAUAGGAAGUGGACAGAGAUCCGUGUGUUGUGCAGAGCCUUAGCUGUAGACUAUUUGGUCCUUACAGAAAAAGAACCCCAGCCCUGCUCGGAGUGGUUUCCUGCAGUGUCCCAGGGGCCCUGCUCUGAGGGUUCACCGCAGGCUGUGGAGCUCCUUGAGGAAGAUGGGAACCCCUGGAGGACUUGCAAAUGUGGGGUGCCAGUCCCUUGGGCCACUUCUACUAGGGCCACGGGAGAGGCUGUGAGUGGCCUGGGAGACUCAGGAGGUCAGCUUUUGUUGAGAUUCAGCACUGCCCUUUGAGUUCAGGGUCAUCUUUCUAUCAAGGCCCCAACUUUGAAGCCAGGAAGCUGGCGAGGGUGUGAGUGGUGCACGCCUAAGGUGUGGAGCCACAGUGGCAUCUGCCCAGGGGGAAUGGUCAUCCCUGCUGCCUGGGGCAAGGGUGGAGGAAACAGUGACUCCCAUAGGCCCAGGCCAGUGGCAGACAUUUCCACUGUCAAGGUCAGCAGUGCAGUGCAGUCUAGCCCCAGGUCAAGUCCAAAGCAAUGCCCAUUCCACCUCGGAAGACCUGCAUCCUGGAACCAGCCCUGGGACCAGACUUCUGUUUCGUGCGGUCCCGGUCGGCUGGCAGAAGCCACAGUGGUCAUGUGGACAGAGAGUGGGAGGGGAAGACCUCUAACCAGAAAAGGACUUGAACUAUUAAAAGGGCACAUGAGAACCCGAAGAAGACAGGGAUAGCAAACGGGGACAGAGAAGGGGGGGGAGGAAACAGGACCUGGGGGAACAAUCCGUCCAGGACAGGGCAGACCCUGCUGGAGGGCCCUGCAGCCUGCCGUGGGAAGGGAGCUGCCAAGGGUGAGAACCAGGGUCACCUGUGGGGAGACCACCAGUGGGCCACGGAACCCAGAGCGGGUGCGAUGGCCAGGAACUCCGCCAGGCAGCUGAGAGCGCGACUGCAUUUCCAUUGUCUGCAGUACACAGUGCUGUACCCCGCCCCGCCAGAUGCAAGAAGCAGCCACAGGUGGCAGAGCAGGUUGCCAAAGAGCAGGGCCAGGAGGGAGCAGGGCUGUAGAGCAGGUGCCUAAGGUUGAGGCUGGGCCCAUCCCCCGCACCCCGGACACAACAGAAAGGGAAGCCCCUGCCCCCGCUGGGCAGACCAAAAGCCCUUGUGGCCUGGCCCAUCGCCCGCUCAUGCCCAGCCCUGGCCUCUCAGCCUCUGCUAUUCCAGGUCCCUCCACCAAUCCCUGGCCCGAAGGCUCCUCACCAACAAGCCCACGGAAUCCAGGGCAGGUAUGGGAUCCACAAAUCCAGCUGGCCAGGUGGCUCUGGUGUGGCUCCCGGCGUCCACCUCUGCACUAUUCUCCAGCUGGAAUCAGCAAAGCCUUGAUAUCUGUGGGGGAGGCAGAUGGCCACUCAUCUCCCGGAUGCACCUGGGUCUCCCUCAAGUUAAGUGGAGGAGAGGAGGGGUGACGGCUCCCCCUUGAGGACUGAAGACUGGGAAGUCCCAGGGGAAGAGGCUCACGGACUUGGGUUCUGGUGAGGACCGGCUGUCGCUCUAGGUGGUGCCUUCAACGCUGCAUUCUCACCUGGUGGAAGGCAGAAGGUGAGACGGGCUGGAAGCUACCCGAAGGCCUUUCUGUAAGGGCCUUGGUCCUGCUUAGCAGAGGAGCUGCUGCUGCUGCUGCUGCUGCUGAUUUUUUUCUUCAGAGCUGGGGAUGGAACCCAGGGCUUCAUAUGUGCUAGGCAAAGUGCUCUGCCCCUGAGCAGCACCCCGGCGCUUUUUAAAUUUUAUUUUGAGACCGGGUCUAAGUUGCUUAGGGCAUGGCUAAGUUGCUUAGGUUGGGCUCCAACUUGCAAUCCUCUUGCCUUAGCCUCCUGAGUGGCUGGGAUAACAGGCCUGGCGACUGCUGUCAGUGCUUUUGAUAUAUUAUGAAUAUUGAACUUUAUCUGUCCCAUGAUUUGCAGACUUUCCCCCACUCCUGUAGGUUGUUUUCCACAGUCUUGAAGAUGUUCUGUGCAUGGAAACUUUUAUUUUUAUGAAUUCUAGUGUAUCAUUUCUUUUGUCAUGUGCUCUUGGUGUCAAAUCUAAGACUUAGUUGCUAUAUGUAAGGUCAUAAAUGUGCACCCCUGAAUUUUCUUCCA
This is a non-coding RNA of Ictidomys tridecemlineatus (thirteen-lined ground squirrel), 4112 nucleotides long. Lineage: Eukaryota; Metazoa; Chordata; Mammalia; Rodentia; Sciuridae. The record is from RefSeq and is a predicted model, not a curated record.